Molecule: non-coding RNA, 24 nt
Filed under: Arabidopsis thaliana (thale cress)
Lineage: Eukaryota; Viridiplantae; Streptophyta; Magnoliopsida; Brassicales; Brassicaceae
Source: RNAcentral
UUAUGGUUGAUUUGAAUACUCGUA